Molecule: ribosomal RNA, 269 nt
Filed under: uncultured prokaryote
Description: partial 16S ribosomal RNA
Rfam family: Bacterial small subunit ribosomal RNA
Source: RNAcentral
UACGGAGGGGGUUAGCGUUGUUCGGAAUUACUGGGCGUAAAGCGUACGUAGGCGGAUUGGAAAGUAGGGGGUGAAAUCCCAGGGCUCAACCCUGGAACUGCCUCCUAAACUAUCAGUCUAGAGUUCGAGAGAGGUGAGUGGAAUUCCAAGUGUAGAGGUGAAAUUCGUAGAUAUUUGGAGGAACACCAGUGGCGAAGGCGGCUCACUGGCUCGAUACUGACGCUGAGGUACGAAAGUGUGGGGAGCAAACAGGAUUAGAUACCCGUGUA